AUUGAACGCUGGCGGCAUGCCUUACACAUGCAAGUCGAACGGUAACAGGUCUUCGGACGCUGACGAGUGGCGAACGGGUGAGUAAUACAUCGGAACGUGCCCAGUCGUGGGGGAUAACUACUCGAAAGAGUAGCUAACACCGCAUACGAUCUGAGGAUGAAAGCGGGGGACCUUCGGGCCUCGCGCGAUUGGAGCGGCCGAUGGCAGAUUAGGUAGUUGGUGGGAUAAAAGCGUACCAGGCCGACCAUCUGUAGGUGGUCUGGGAGGACGACCAGCCACACUGGGACUGAUACACGGCCCAGACUCCUACGGGAGGCAGCAGUGGGGAAUUUUGGACAAUGGGCGAAAGCCUGAUCCAGCAAUGCCGCGUGCAGGAUGAAGGCCUUCGGGUUGUAAACUGCUUUUGUACGGAACGAAAAAGUCUCCUCUAAUACAGGAGGCCCAUGACGGUACCGUAAGAAUAAGCACCGGCUAACUACGUGCCAGCAGCCGCGGUAA
Molecule: ribosomal RNA, 498 nt
Filed under: uncultured bacterium
Lineage: Bacteria
Description: partial 16S ribosomal RNA
Rfam family: Bacterial small subunit ribosomal RNA
Source: RNAcentral